Molecule: transfer RNA, 67 nt
Filed under: Marmota monax (woodchuck)
Lineage: Eukaryota; Metazoa; Chordata; Mammalia; Rodentia; Sciuridae
Also listed under: 2 other names
Description: tRNA.Ala
Rfam family: tRNA
About the family: Transfer RNA (tRNA) molecules are approximately 80 nucleotides in length.
Source: RNAcentral
GGUUGUGGCUCAGUGGCAGAGCACUUGCCUAGCAUGUGUGAGGCACUGGGUUCGAUUCUCAGCACCA